This 255-nucleotide ribosomal RNA is filed under the name Escherichia coli. Its description in RNAcentral is "partial 16S ribosomal RNA". It matches the Rfam family "Bacterial small subunit ribosomal RNA", at positions 116 to 374 of the family's 1533-position model. Lineage: Bacteria; Pseudomonadati; Pseudomonadota; Gammaproteobacteria; Enterobacterales; Enterobacteriaceae. The record is from RNAcentral.
UCUGGGAAACUGCCUGAUGGAGGGGGAUAACUACUGGAAACGGUAGCUAAUACCGCAUAACGUCGCAAGACCAAAGAGGGGGACCUUCGGGCCUCUUGCCAUCGGAUGUGCCCAGAUGGGAUUAGCUGGUAGGUGGGGUAACGGCUCACCUAGGCGACGAUCCCUAGCUGGUCUGAGAGGAUGACCAGCCACACUGGAACUGAGACACGGUCCAGACUCCUACGGGAGGCAGCAGUGGGGAAUAUUGCACAAUGG